AUUGAACGCUGGCGGCAUGCCUUACACAUGCAAGUCGAACGACGGCAGGGGGCAACUCCUGUCGAGUGGCGAACGGGUGAGUAAUACAUCGGAACGUGUCCUGUCGUGGGGGAUAACCCGUCGAAAGACUGGCUAAUACCGCAUGAGAUCGAAAGAUGAAAGGCGGGGGACCGCAAGGCCUCGCGCGAUAGGAGCGGCCGAUGCCGGAUUAGCUAGUUGGUGGGGUAAAAGCCACCAAGGCGACGAUCCGUAGCUGGUUUGAGAGAACCGACCAGCCAC
This 279-nucleotide ribosomal RNA is filed under the name uncultured bacterium. RNAcentral describes it as "partial 16S ribosomal RNA". It matches the Rfam family "Bacterial small subunit ribosomal RNA", at positions 30 to 311 of the family's 1533-position model. The record is from RNAcentral.